Molecule: ribosomal RNA, 311 nt
Filed under: uncultured soil bacterium
Lineage: Bacteria
Description: bacterial SSU rRNA
Rfam family: Bacterial small subunit ribosomal RNA
Source: RNAcentral
AGGACGAACGCUGGCGGCGUGCUUAACACAUGCAAGUCGAGCGGAAAGGCCACUUCGGUGGUACUCGAGCGGCGAACGGGUGAGUAACACGUGAGUAAUCUGCCCUUGGCUUUGGGAUAGCCACCGGAAACGGUGAUUAAUACCGGAUAUGACUGCUCCUCGCAUGAGGUGGUGGUGGAAAGUUUUUUCGGCCAGGGAUGUGCUCGCGGCCUAUCAGCUUGAUGGUGGGGUAAUGGCUCACCAUGGCUUCGACGGGUAGCCGGCCUGAGAGGGUGACCGGUCACGACUGGGACUGAGACACGGCCCAGACU